CCUUAGAGUUUGAUCCUGGCUCAGGAUGAACGCUAGCUACAGGCUUAACACAUGCAAGUCGAGGGGCAGCAUUUUAGUUUGCUUGCAAACUAAAGAUGGCGACCGGCGCACGGGUGAGUAACACGUAUCCAACCUGCCGAUAACUCGGGGAUAGCCUUUCGAAAGAAAGAUUAAUAUCCGAUGGUAUAUUAAAACCGCAUGGUUUUACUAUUAAAGAAUUUCGGUUAUCGAUGGGGAUGCGUUCCAUUAGUUUGUUGGCGGGGUAACGGCCCACCAAGACUACGAUGGAUAGGGGUUCUGAGAGGAAGGUCCCCCACAUUGGAACUGAGACACGGUCCAAACUCCUACGGGAGGCAGCAGUGAGGAAUAUUGGUCAAUGGACGAGAGUCUGAACCAGCCAAGUAGCGUGAAGGAUGACUGCCCUAUGGGUUGUAAACUUCUUUUAUAUGGGAAUAAAGUAUUCCACGUGUGGGAUUUUGUAUGUACCAUAUGAAUAAGGAUCGGCUAACUCCGUGCCAGCAGCCGCGGUAAUACGGAGGAUCCGAGCGUUAUCCGGAUUUAUUGGGUUUAAAGGGAGCGUAGGUGGAUUGUUAAGUCAGUUGUGAAAGUUUGCGGCUCAACCGUAAAAUUGCAGUUGAAACUGGCAGUCUUGAGUACAGUAGAGGUGGGCGGAAUUCGUGGUGUAGCGGUGAAAUGCUUAGAUAUCACGAAGAACUCCGAUUGCGAAGGCAGCUCACUAGACUGCAACUGACACUGGUGCUCGAAAGUGUGGGUAUCAAACAGGAUUAGAUACCCUGGUAGUCCACACAGUAAACGAUGAAUACUCGCUGUUUGCGAUAUACAGUAAGCGGCCAAGCGAAAGCAUUAAGUAUUCCACCUGGGGAGUACGCCGGCAACGGUGAAACUCAAAGGAAUUGACGGGGGCCCGCACAAGCGGAGGAACAUGUGGUUUAAUUCGAUGAUACGCGAGGAACCUUACCCGGGCUUAAAUUGCAUUUGAAUAAUCUGGAAACAGGUUAGCCGCAAGGCAAAUGUGAAGGUGCUGCAUGGUUGUCGUCAGCUCGUGCCGUGAGGUGUCGGCUUAAGUGCCAUAACGAGCGCAACCCUUAUCUUUAGUUACUAACAGGUCAUGCUGAGGACUCUAGAGAGACUGCCGUCGUAAGAUGUGAGGAAGGUGGGGAUGACGUCAAAUCAGCACGGCCCUUACGUCCGGGGCUACACACGUGUUACAAUGGCGUAAACAAAGGGAAGCAAAGCUGUGAAGCCGAGCAAAUCUCAAAAAUAACGUUUCAGUUCGGACUGUAGUCUGCAACCCGACUACACGAAGCUGGAAUCGCUAGUAAUCGCAGAUCAGAAUGCUGCGGUGAAUACGUUCCCGGGUCUUGCACUCACCGCCCGUCAAG
Molecule: ribosomal RNA, 1403 nt
Filed under: uncultured bacterium
Lineage: Bacteria
Description: bacterial SSU rRNA
Rfam family: Bacterial small subunit ribosomal RNA
Source: RNAcentral